UACGAAGGGGGCUAGCGUUGCUCGGAAUCACUGGGCGUAAAGCGCACGUAGGCGGAUUGCUAAGUCAGGGGUGAAAUCCUGGAGCUCAACUCCAGAACUGCCUUUGAUACUGGCGAUCUUGAGUUCGGGAGAGGUGAGUGGAACUGCGAGUGUAGAGGUGAAAUUCGUAGAUAUUCGCAAGAACACCAGUGGCGAAGGCGGCUCACUGGCCCGAUACUGACGCUGAGGCACGAAAGCGUGGGGAGCAAACAGG
Molecule: ribosomal RNA, 253 nt
Filed under: uncultured bacterium
Lineage: Bacteria
Description: partial 16S ribosomal RNA
Rfam family: Bacterial small subunit ribosomal RNA
Source: RNAcentral